AGCUCUGCUGCCGCCGCCGCGUUCCGAUCCCCGCUGGCCCUAUCCGUCGCCCCAACCCCGCCAAACCAAGCUCAGGUGAGCCCCCACACCCUCCCGGCCACUUGUUGCCCCAUCCUCGCCGGCGAACCGCCGGUAAUUUUCCCACCGCCGCCGCGCGCGCCCCCGGGGACUACAUUGCGUCGUCCCCAUUCUUUCCAGGGGCCUAGGCGCAAAACUUAGGGACCCCUGCGUAGUUUAACCUUAAACCUAGGGCCUAGCUUGCAAGUCUGCCACGGCUUUUCUUUUAAUAAUAGUUAGAAAAAUGUUUGAACUUUGGAAAUGCCUAGUAAAUCGUAGAAAACUCAUAAAAAUGCCAAACUACUUUUGUUGGAAUCCUUGCUCUGUCUAG
Molecule: long non-coding RNA, 388 nt
Filed under: Setaria viridis
Lineage: Eukaryota; Viridiplantae; Streptophyta; Magnoliopsida; Poales; Poaceae
Description: long non-coding RNA (SVIR_LNC009124)
Source: RNAcentral